CCUACGGGCGGCAGCAGUCGGGAAUUUUGCUCAAUGGGCGCAAGCCUGAAGCAGCAACGCCGCGUGAGGGAUGAAGGCCUUCGGGUUGUAAACCUCUUUUCUCAGGGAAGAUGAUGACGGUACCUGAGGAAUAAGCCACGGCUAACUACGUGCCAGCAGCCGCGGUAAUACGUAGGUGGCAAGCGUUGUCCGGAUUUACUGGGCGUAAAGAGCGCGCAGGCGGUCGUUCAAGUCGAGUGUGAAAGCCCCCGGCUCAACUGGGGAGGGUCACUCGAUACUGAUCGGCUCGAAGGCAGGAGAGGGAAGUGGAAUUCCCGGUGUAGUGGUGAAAUGCGUAGAUAUCGGGAGGAACACCAGUGGCGAAGGCGGCCCCCUGGACAAAGACUGACGCUCAUGUGCGAAAGCGUGGGGAGCAAACAGGAUUAGAUACCCGGGUAGUC
This 440-nucleotide ribosomal RNA is filed under the name uncultured bacterium gp16. RNAcentral describes it as "bacterial SSU rRNA". It matches the Rfam family "Bacterial small subunit ribosomal RNA", at positions 338 to 795 of the family's 1533-position model. The record is from RNAcentral.